AGCCAGGUGUGGUGGCAGACGCCUGUAAUCCCAGCUACUCAGGAGGCUGAGGCAGACAAUUGCUUGAACCCAGGAGGCGGAGGUUGAGUGACCCGAGAUCAUGCCACUACACUCCAGCCUGGGCCACAGAGUGAGACUCCAUCUCAAAUAAAUAAAUAAAUAAAUAAGCAAGCUUGGCGCAGAGUAUUUGGGGAUGUGGGGGUGGUGGUGUAGGCACCAGUACUGAGCCUAGGAGCACUUCAGGCCUUAAAACAUCUGGUGAGUUUCCACAGCCUUAGUGGCUGCCUCCCCCACUUGCUGGGAAAGCCCCGGAUCCCUUCUGAAGUCCAUGUCAAAUUGCCCAUCACCUCCCCAUCUUCCCAGGGGUACUUCCUGGGACCCUGUCCAUCCUUCUCUCUGCAGUGAUCCCAGGUUCCUGCCCAGACAAGACUGCAGGGUCUAAGGCAGUGCCCUGCACUCCCUAAUGAUGCCUAUGCGAGUGGCAUUCUGGCCUUUCAAAAAGAGAGUUAUGGCCACAAUGGGGACACAGGCAGGGAAGCAGCUAACCAACACUCAUGGGGAACUGACUAAUUCUGGGCUCUGCCAAUGUUCUGCCCCCAACCUGAGCUCCAUCUGCUUUGAAAGAUGAUGCAGGGGCUUGUGUUUGUCCCUGGCCUUUGCUGGUCCUUUUCUAAGAUCACCAACUUUUGGGAUUUUUCCCAUCCUCCUUGUCUCUUUCUCAUUCAGGCUGGAGCUCAUUGUGUCUCCCCACCAUCUGAACGAAUUCACAAUCCUUCCUCCCUUGUCCUAGUCCAGCUGUUGCCAAACAUUCAUGGAGUCCAAUUGUGUGCCAGGCCAUAAGAAGGCAUGAUGGGGAGGGAGAGGCCCCAGUUCCCUCACUGAGGAGAUGACAUCCCUGUGUGUCUGAUUGAGGAGCUGGAGCUAGCCGUGGAAGAGCUGGGAGAAGGGUAUCUGAAAAGAAGAAAAACAGGAAGCAAGGAAAAGUAAGCAAAAGUCAGCCCCUUUAGGCAGAAAGAAAACCCAUGGAUCUCACCUGUCUCAUUAGCGUGGAAAAGUCAGUGUGACCUCAGAAAUCAGUCCAGGUGUCUGGACCUUUCUGGUCCUGGAGAAGGAAAACAUAGCAUGAAAAUCCCCAAGCUCUGGGUUCAGGCUCCAAAUCCUCCAUUCCUUCCUCCUUCAGGUGUCCUUCCUUACUGUGGCUCCUUAUGGUGCCCCUUGGCCAGGCACUCGAGCCUUCCUGAGGCUCAGUUCGUUUAACUGUAAAUGGGGACAAGAAAAUUGCUGUCUGCACAGAGUUGCUGCAGGAAUAAAAUAGAAUCGUGGGCUGGGCAUGGUGGCUUACAGCUGUAAUCCCAGCACUUUGGGAGGCCAAGGCCGGUGGAUCACCUGAGCUCAGGAGUUCGAGACCAGCCUGGAAAAUAUGGUGAAACCCCAUCUCUACCAAAAAAUACAAAAAUUAGCCAGGCAUGGGGGUGCACAUCUGUGGUCCCAGCUACUAGGGAGGCUGAGGUGGGAGGAUUGCUUGAGCUCAGGAGGUAGAGAUUGCAGUGAGCCAAGAUUGUGCCAUUGUACUCCAGCCUGAGUGACAGAGUGAGACUCUGUCUCAAAAACAAACAAACAAAAAAAUAGAAUCAUGGACUUGGAGGAAUUGCUGGUCCCUCUGUGUGGCCUGGUGAAAAGAACACAAGUGAGCACUGGCAGAGGACACACCUGUGUUUGAAGCCAGCCUCUGCUCCUUUCUAGCUCUGUGUCCUAAAACGAGUUACUUAACGUCUCUGAGCAUGUCCUACGUUAGUGAUAAAAUAUAUAAAUGUCCCUCUCUCAGGGUUGUUGUAAGGAGUAAAUAAAUUAAUGUACAUAAAAAGCACACAAAAGUAUCUGUUACACUGCAACUGCUCUAGAGGUGAUUGCCAUAAUGAAGAAGAAUAUUCGAAACUGGAGGUGAAUCUCAUGAUUCUGCACUUUUUAUCUGGAUGUUGCUGGCUUUUCACCAUGGCUUUUCUGACUUUGUUCCACAGUGUGUGUAAAGCACUUAAUCUGUUCCAAGUUCUUUGUAAGACUUUAGUCUGAGGACUGAAGCCCACAGCUCAUUGCCCUUUAAAGGAAGAGCUAUAAAUAGUACACUGGGUCAUUAAAAAGAGGAAGGAAUGCACCUGGACAGCCAAGUACAUGUAAAUUUGGCCAGAGGAGACUUCAGGGCCCAGAGCAUGCCCGUCAGCAAAGUCUCCCCUGGCUUCUGCAGAAGAACUCUGGUCAUCCAGGUGAGGGACCACAGGCCAGCCAGCUGUUCCUUCCAGACGUCUCCAGAAACCUCUAUGAGUCCCUUGGAAGGUAACAAACUCAGACCAAGAGGCUGCUUCUGAAGAAACCCAACAGUAGACUCUGGUGUGAAGAACAAAGACACACAGCUUGAGCCUGGGGAUGGACACCUCCCAGCAGCCCUGGCUGCCACUCACUGCUGUGCUGCAGCCUGAGAUGAGAAUACUGAUGUUCAGAGCAACCGACUGAACCCCUGGAAGUCACUCAUACUGAAAAUGGCAAAGCAGUAUCUGCCCCUGCUCUGUCCAAUGCUAACAGGACUGCUGAGGCCUCCCCUCCACCUCGCCUCAAGUUGACAUUGGGCCUGUGGAAAUAGACCUCUAAGCCAGCCUUUCUUGCUAGUUUGGUUUUAGCCUUUCUUGGACUCAGCUUUGCCAUCUGUGAAAUAUGUGAGUCAUCUAGAUAGUGUCUGAAACCUACCAGCUCCAAGUCUAUGGUCCACGGAUGGGCUGUGAGGACAAUCAAGACUGAGGCAGGUUUUCACUCAAGUCCUGGAAUAUCUGGUCAUCCUUCCAGGGUUCUUCAUGGCAGGGAAACAAAAUCAACAACUGAAGAACAUGAGGUUCAGGAGAUUUAAGUCUGAGUUCCAGUGUUGGCUUUGGGUGCCUCUAAUCAACCACAAAUCUAUCCCAAGCCCGAGGCAGGCUGGUCUUACUCAACAUUUAUGGGGUCUUGCAGGGCUUAUGAGUGAGCUCAUGUGGGUGAGCUGUGGGUACCACAGGACCAGCACAGAUUGCUCCAGCACAUUGUCCAGCCACGAGACAGAAUUUCCCUCUUACAGAUCCAUUGAAUAGCCCUGGCCUGUGGGUUUGCUGUAAAGAUGCAAAAGCCCUGAAGCAUUAUCUGCCAAACCUCAGCCCUGACCAUGGUUAGGCUGACAUCAGGGGAGGCAGCAGGAGAGGGAGAGAAAAGGGUAUCUCAUUGUGGAACUGGGGCAGUGGUGGGCAGGGGCUGAUGCAGGAGGGGUGCCAUGGCCCAACUGCUCUUCACCCACGGUCCUUACACAGACCUGAUCCUGCUAAUUCUGACUCAGCUUUCAGACUCAGCCUGCGGACACUCAAUUUUUAGUAAUAAGCAGUCUCCUCAUAAUUUACUAUAUAGCAAAAUAAAUUUUUAAAAGAUAUUAAUAGUUGGCACCAGAGUCUCUUCACUUCAUUUAUUCAUUUUUACAACAAACAUCUAUUGAGCCCCUGGGAUGUGCUUGUGCUCUUUUGGGCUGUGCAGAUUUAACGGUAAAGAUAACAAUGUUCCAGUCCUACUCAAGUUUGCAUUCUGAUGCAGAGAAAGACAAUUAUAAAUCAUAAAAUAUGUAUAAUAUCAGUUAAGGAUUGGUGCUUGGAAUAAAAUAAAGAAGUAGAGAGGGGGAAAUUGGUCAUUUUUGAUAUGAUGGUCCAAGAAGCCUACUGAGGUAACAUGUAGCAGAGAUGAUUUUUAAGGAAAUGACUUUGAUCAGCAACAUGAGAUUGGUAUUGGAAUAUCGAGGACAUAAGUAAGACACAAUAAAUCAGAAGGUGUUAAAAAUAAAGAUGGAUUCAUGACUGAGGGGUGGGGAGAAAAGAAAAAAAAGACAAAGAAUCAUGAC
RNAcentral lists this long non-coding RNA (3901 nucleotides) under Homo sapiens (human). RNAcentral's name for it is "HSALNT0144216". Lineage: Eukaryota; Metazoa; Chordata; Mammalia; Primates; Hominidae. The record is from RNAcentral.